GCCACCUUAGCACAACUGGAAGUGCAGCUGACCUGUAAUCAGUUGGUUGGGAGUUCGAAUCUCUCAGAUGGCA
This is a transfer RNA of 73 nucleotides. It matches the Rfam family "tRNA". Rfam says of the family: Transfer RNA (tRNA) molecules are approximately 80 nucleotides in length. Their secondary structure includes four short double-helical elements and three loops (D, anti-codon, and T loops).